GCAGGGCUGGGGGGAGCGGGGCUGCCAUUGUCCCCGGGGGCGGGCAGCGGGACAGCCCCGCGGCCCGGGGGGACAUCGGCCGGGGGUGGCGGCGCCUCGGUGCCGCCCGGCUCGGCUCGGCUCGGCCUCCCCCAGCUCGGGGCCCGGCCGCUGCCGCCGUGCCCGGGGGCAGGGGGGGGGAGUGCCUUGUGCCUCCCCCCGCCUCCUCCCCGUCCAGCCCUCCUCUGGGUAGAAGGGGAGGAGGAGGAGGAGGAGGAGGGCGAGUGGUGGGAGGGUCUCUGCAUUGAAAUAAACAAGCAGGCAGUUAUUAAAACGGGAACAUGGCGGCCGCAGCCCCAGCUUCAGCUUCGGCUUACAAAGCGAAGGAUGCAGCUUGCUCACUGUAAGUCUGCAAGACUCUGUCAUGAGAAUGAAAGUGUUGACACUUCCCUCCAUCGCUGAAAGAGAGUAAGAGCUAGUCCAUCUGCAGAGAGCACAGGUUUUUCAGCAGGAAGAACAAAGUCAUUGGGAAAGACAGCUGCUGCUACAAUGCCCACAGUCUUCUGGUCUUUCCCUUUGUUGCUGAUGUCACUGUCUUAUUGGCAAAAUCUGGGGCUCAGCGUUGAGCCUGAGUUUUGGUAGCACCUGAAAUGAGAAUUGUGGAAAUUGCAGAGGCUUGUGAGACUUAAAGCCUUGAGGAUGCUGUCAGCUCAUUGAAGAGAAAAAGCUGAGCGUGAGACUGGUGCCAAAUUCAAGUAUAAAUGUAACUCUCUUUGUCUGCUCAGUACUAAUUGUGCGCUGAAGAAAGGCAAUACUGAGCUAAUGCUGUUUCUGCCAAAUUCAUUUUUUGUAUGUUUGCUGUGCUUAGCCUCUCUAAACAAUGCAAUUUGUAUUCAAGUACGUAUAAAGUAUUUAACAAAUUCCACGCGUUUUCUUUAGAAUUCUUACCUACAUUAAGACGUUCGGUAUUCAUUUAUUUCUGUGUUUGGCUUCUGGCUUCUGAGGCCAAAGGUGAGAUGUGUUGUUACACGGUAUAUACCCUUGUGUGUGACUUAGCAUUUUAAACUAAGGACAGAGUAAUGUUGAUAUUUACUUUUGUAGAAGGUGUAUUACAGCAUCCAUUCAUGCACUCGUUUUCUACUGUUAGCUAAUUUAGUUACAGAUGGCUACUCUGGCAGGAUCCCUUAUUUUUAUUUUUAAAUAAGGUGAAGUUCAGUGCACUACUUUAUUUGUGUUAGUUGUUAAAACAUUCUCAUGCUCCUGGUGGCAGAUAAAGACAAAUCUGUCAAUGUAAUGCUGAGAGCAAGGGAGGCGGAGAGGGAGAAACAGGGAGGGACUGGGGGGGGGGGGGGGGCACCCUCCUGGGGCAAAUGGGGAAUCCA
Molecule: long non-coding RNA, 1361 nt
Filed under: Anser cygnoides (Swan goose)
Lineage: Eukaryota; Metazoa; Chordata; Aves; Anseriformes; Anatidae
Description: lncRNA (ENSACDG00005003510.1)
Source: RNAcentral